This 300-nucleotide ribosomal RNA is filed under the name uncultured Nisaea sp. Its description in RNAcentral is "bacterial SSU rRNA". It matches the Rfam family "Bacterial small subunit ribosomal RNA", at positions 115 to 432 of the family's 1533-position model. The record is from RNAcentral. Lineage: Bacteria; Pseudomonadati; Pseudomonadota; Alphaproteobacteria; Rhodospirillales; Thalassobaculaceae.
GCGUGGGAACCUGCCCCGAGGUACGGGACAACGGCUGGAAACGGCCGCUAAUACCGUAUGUGUCCUGAGGGAGAAAGAUUUAUCGCCUUGGGAGGGGCCCGCGUCCGAUUAGCUAGUUGGUGAGGUAAUGGCUCACCAAGGCGACGAUCGGUAGCUGGUCUGAGAGGAUGAUCAGCCACACUGGGACUGAGACACGGCCCAGACUCCUACGGGAGGCAGCAGUGGGGAAUAUUGGACAAUGGGGGCAACCCUGAUCCAGCAAUGCCGCGUGUGUGAUGAAGGCCUUAGGGUUGUAAAGCA